CCACCUGACCCCAUGCCGAACUCAGAAGUGAAACGCCGUAGCGCCGAUGGUAGUGUGGGGUCUCCCCAUGUGAGAGUAGGGAACUGCCAGACA
RNAcentral lists this ribosomal RNA (93 nucleotides) under Klebsiella pneumoniae. Lineage: Bacteria; Pseudomonadati; Pseudomonadota; Gammaproteobacteria; Enterobacterales; Enterobacteriaceae. The record is from RNAcentral.